Molecule: long non-coding RNA, 1592 nt
Organism: Biomphalaria glabrata
Lineage: Eukaryota; Metazoa; Mollusca; Gastropoda; Planorbidae
Exons: 2
Source: RefSeq, a predicted model, not a curated record
UUAUAAAUCCAGGUAUUCAGCAAUACCUGACUCAGGAAGAUUCUCAUGAUCCACUGGCCAGAAAAGAUCUCUAAUGAAGAACUAAAGAAAAGAACAGACCAGAAGCCCAUUGAAGUAGAUAUCCUUAAGAGGUGCUGAAUAUGAAUGUUCCUUCAGACUUGAAGACAUUUACAUACUCUCCCAAACCUCCCCCAGGAUGGCAGCAGGUGGGCUUCGAACCAGUCCAGAGCACACACCAUACAUUGAUGUAACAAGGCAGCCAUAGUCUAAAUCUAAAAUGCAAACCAAAUGUGCAGGUCACAAUUAUUAAUCUAUUUUUUUAAAGAUGAUUAUUUGAAACUGAGAGAUGUAUAUAUUUAUAGACUUAUUACACCAAAAUUAAAGGUUAAGAGUAAUUUGUUUUAUGAACAUCUAGUAAUGGCUUAUGAAGUACACUUUUCUAAGUAAUGAGACUUUGCCAUUACAGAAAAUGUAGACAAAUAGCCAGACCAACCUGUCUUCAAUGACACGACACACUUCAUGCUUCCAUAAGUUAAUGACGGUCCUGACUGUGCUGCAUUCAUUACCUUCUAUGUACAGCAUACCUUGCCAGAUACGAGACAGAUCUCUCAAGUUAAAAAUAUAAUGAAAUUUGGCUGGCGUUGGCAGCAUUUUGAUCUGAAUUUUACAAAACACGUCACUGUUAAUCAAUGGGAAACUGAAUGAGUCAAAAUACAAAAUAUUAUCGUAAAAAAAGAAAUGCAUAUAAAGCUUUGAUCAUAUUCACCUUUGUUCUUUGCCAAAGAAUACGAGUGCAUGGAACUAAGUAUUUGACAAUCUCUACAACUGGCUCUAAAAAUCUGGACUCACAGAAAUAGCCUUGUCCAAUGAUUCCUUCAAUCAAAAUUAACAGUUUUGUGUUCAACUUAAAACUUCCAGCAAAAUCAUGUGUUUAAAAAUAUAAUAAGUAAAAAAUGUGUCAUUUUAGUUUGAAUGUAUUACAUGACUGCUUGGUGAUGCGAUUUGAGCGCUGGACUGUCAUUCAGACUUAUCGAUGGGCCUGGGCUCAAACCUUGCCCGCUCCCAUCCCUGUUGUCCUGCAGGAAGUUUGGACUAGGUAGUAAAUUAUUUUCAACUCUGAAGGAACAUGCGAAACAUGUACAACAUUUUACAAACAAACAAACAUUUACAAAACUAAUGCUGAACAAACAGAUGUAGUCAAACUAAAUUUUCAUUUGUUUGGACCAAUAUAAUUAUGUCAUCUAUUUUAUCUCAUGUGUCAUGUAUUAAACAACCGAUAAGAAUUUAAAUCAUUUGAGCAAGUCUCUACAGCGUCUUGUUAAAACCUACAUCUUGUUUUGAUGGUCCUGGGUUCUGACCCUGCCCACUAAAAUUCCCAGACAUUCUGCAUUUACUUACUUGACGCUAGUUCUAUACACUUACUAAGUUGGAGAUAGUUUUAACAAGAAAAACAUUAAAAAUACUGUAAAAAAAAAAAAUACCUACACGAAGUGUAAUUGUAUCAGUUAGUUUGGAUCAGUCAUGUAAUUAAAUUUGUAAAUGAUCUAGACCAACAACAUUAAAUCUAAGCGAUUAAAAAUGUUUUUACCAAU